GGAAGGCCCGAACCCACUCCCGUUGAAAAGGUAGGGGAUGAGUUGUGGAUCGGAGUGAAAGGCUAAUCAAGCCCGGAGAUAGCUGGUUCUCCUCGAAAGCUAUUUAGGUAGCGCCUCGUGUAUCACUGCCGGGGGUAGAGCUCUGCUAUGGCUAGGGGGAACUUCGGUUCCUACCAAACCAUUGCAAACUACGAAUACCGGCAAGUGUAAGCACGGGAGACACACGGCGGGUGAUAACGUCCGUCGUGAAAAGGGAAACAACCCAGACCGCCAGCUAAGGUCCCCAAAUUACGGCUAAGUGGUGAACGAUGUGGGAAGUCGCAGACAGCCAGGAGGUUGGCUUAGAAGCAGCCAUCCUUUAAAGAAAGCGUAAUAGCUCACUGGUCGAUGCCAGCAGCCGCGGUAAU
Molecule: ribosomal RNA, 407 nt
Filed under: uncultured Gammaproteobacteria bacterium
Lineage: Bacteria; Pseudomonadati; Pseudomonadota; Gammaproteobacteria
Description: partial 16S ribosomal RNA
Rfam family: Bacterial large subunit ribosomal RNA
Source: RNAcentral